RNAcentral lists this ribosomal RNA (409 nucleotides) under uncultured bacterium. RNAcentral's name for it is "bacterial SSU rRNA". It matches the Rfam family "Bacterial small subunit ribosomal RNA", at positions 354 to 777 of the family's 1533-position model. The record is from RNAcentral.
GUGGGGAAUAUUGGGCAAUGGGGGAAACCCUGACCCAGCAACGCCGCGUGAGGGAAGAAGGCUUUCGAGUUGUAAACCUCUGUCCUAUGGGAAGAAGAAAGUGACUGUACCAUAGGAGGAAGCUCCGGCUAACUACGUGCCAGCAGCCGCGGUAAUACGUAGGGAGCAAGCGUUGUCCGGAAUUACUGGGCGUAAAGGGUGCGUAGGCGGCGCAGUUAGUCAGAAGUGAAAUAUCGGGGCUUAACCCCGGGGCUGCUUCUGAUACUGCUGUGCUCGAGUGCAGGAGAGGUAAGUGGAAUUCCUAGUGUAGCGGUGAAAUGCGUAGAUAUUAGGAGGAACACCAGUGGCGAAGGCGACUUACUGGACUGUAACUGACGCUGAGGCACGAAAGCGUGGGUAGCAAACAGGA